GAUCCUGGCUCAGAAUCAACGCUGGCGGCGUGCCUAACACAUGCAAGUCGAACGCGAAAGUCCCGGCAACGGGAUGAGUAGAGUGGCAGACGGGUGAGUAACACGUGGGUAACCUACCCUGGAGUGAGGAAUAACCCCGCGAAAGCGGGGCUAAUACCGCAUAACAUCCCGAAGGCUCAAGCUUUUGGGAUCAAAGCUCGCAAGGGCGCUUCAGGAGGGGCCCGCGCCUGAUUAGCUAGUUGGUAAGGUAACGGCUUACCAAGGCUACGAUCAGUAGCCGGCCUGAGAGGGUGAACGGCCACACUGGAACUGAGACACGGUCCAGACUCCUACGGGAGGCAGCAGUGGGGAAUUUUGCGCAAUGGGCGAAAGCCUGACGCAGCAACGCCGCGUGGGUGAUGAAGUCCCUUGGGACGUAAAACCCUGUCGGCUGGGACGAAACGACCCGCAAGGGUAACUGACUGUACCAGCAGAGGAAGCCCCGGCUAACUCCGUGCCAGCAGCCGCGGUAAUACGGGGGGGGCAAGCGUUGUUCGGAAUUACUGGGCAUAAAGGGCGUGUAGGCGGCCUAGCAAGUCAGUUGUGAAAGCCCCAGGCUCAACUUGGGAAUUGCAACUGAAACUGCCGGGCUAGAGUUCAGGAGAGGAGGGCGGAACUCCCAGUGUAGCGGUGAAAUGCGUAGAUAUUGGGAGGAACACCGGUGGCGAAGGCGGCUCUCUGGACUGAAACUGACGCUGAGGCGCGAAAGCCAGGGGAGCGAAACG
Molecule: ribosomal RNA, 764 nt
Filed under: uncultured Acidobacteriota bacterium
Lineage: Bacteria; Pseudomonadati; Acidobacteriota
Description: bacterial SSU rRNA
Rfam family: Bacterial small subunit ribosomal RNA
Source: RNAcentral